CGUAGGGUGCGAGCGUUGUCCGGAAUUACUGGGCGUAAAGAGCUUGUAGGCGGUUCGUCGCGUCGAUCGUGAAAACUGGCGGCUCAACUGCCAGCUUGCGGUCGAUACGGGCGGACUAGAGUACUUCAGGGGAGACUGGAAUUCCUGGUGUAGCGGUGAAAUGCGCAGAUAUCAGGAGGAACACCGGUGGCGAAGGCGGGUCUCUGGGAAGUAACUGACGCUGAGAAGCGAAAGCGUGGGUAGCGAACAGGAUUAGAUACCCUGGUAGUCCACGCCGUAAACGGUGGGUACUAGGUGUGGGUUUCCUUCCACGGGAUCCGUGCCGUAGCUAACGCAUUAAGUACCCCGCCUGGGGAGUACGGCCGCAAGGCUA
This 373-nucleotide ribosomal RNA is filed under the name uncultured organism. RNAcentral describes it as "bacterial SSU rRNA". It matches the Rfam family "Bacterial small subunit ribosomal RNA", at positions 526 to 896 of the family's 1533-position model. The record is from RNAcentral.